AACGACUCUCGACAACGGAUAUCUCGGCUCUUGCAUCGAUGAAGAACGUAGCGAAAUGCGAUACUUGGUGUGAAUUGCAGAAUCCCGUGAACCAUCGAGUCUUUGAACGCAAGUUGCGCCCGAAACCAUUAGGUUGAGGGCACGUCUGCCUGGGUGUCACGC
Molecule: ribosomal RNA, 162 nt
Filed under: Trigonosciadium komarovii
Lineage: Eukaryota; Viridiplantae; Streptophyta; Magnoliopsida; Apiales; Apiaceae
Description: Mandenovia komarovii 5.8S ribosomal RNA
Rfam family: 5.8S ribosomal RNA
About the family: 5.8S ribosomal RNA (5.8S rRNA) is a component of the large subunit of the eukaryotic ribosome. It is transcribed by RNA polymerase I as part of the 45S precursor that also contains 18S and 28S rRNA.
Source: RNAcentral